This is a long non-coding RNA of Oncorhynchus tshawytscha (Chinook salmon), 625 nucleotides long. The record is from Ensembl. NCBI's taxonomy places the organism in Eukaryota, Metazoa, Chordata, Actinopteri, Salmoniformes, Salmonidae.
GGGGAGUAGGGAGGGAGUAGUGUAGCCUAGACAGGGGAGUAGGGAGGGAGUAGUGUAGCCCAGACAGGGGAGUAGGGAGGGAGUAGUGUAGCCUGGGCCCAUAGGACAGGGGAGUAAGAAGGGAGUAGUGUUGCCUAGGCCCAUAGGACAGGGGAGUAAGAAGGGAGUAGUGUAGCCUAGACAGGGGAGUAGGGAGGACAUAGUGUAGCCUAGGCCCAUAGGACAGGGGAGUAGGAAGGGAGUAGUGUAGCCUGGGCCCAUAAGACAGGGGAAGUAGUGGUAUAGCCUGGGCCCAUAAGACAGGGGAGGCGGUGGUGUAGCCUGGCCACAUAAGACAGGGGAGGGAGUGGUGUAGCCUGGGCCCAUAAGACAGGGGAGGGAGUGGUGUAGCCUGGGCCCAUAAGACAGGGGAGGGAGUGGUGUAGCCUGGCCACAUAAGACAGGGGAGGUAGUGGUGUAGCCUGGGCCCAUAAGAAAGGGGAGGGAGUGGUGUAGCCUGGGCCCAUAAGACAGGGGAGGGAGUUGUGUAGCCUGGGCCCAUAAGACAGGGGAGAGAGUGGUGUAGCCUGGUCCCAUACGAUAGGAGAGGGAGUGGUGUGGCCUGGGCUCAUAAGACAGGGGAGGG